RNAcentral lists this ribosomal RNA (492 nucleotides) under uncultured bacterium. RNAcentral's name for it is "partial 16S ribosomal RNA". It matches the Rfam family "Bacterial small subunit ribosomal RNA", at positions 28 to 507 of the family's 1533-position model. The record is from RNAcentral.
GAUGAACGCUAGCUACAGGCUUAACACAUGCAAGUCGAGGGGAAACGGCAUUGAGUGCUUGCACUCUUUGGACGUCGACCGGCGCACGGGUGAGUAACACGUAUCCCACCUUCCCAUUACUGUGGGAUAACCUACCGAAAGGCAGACUAAUACCGCAUAGUCUUCGAUGACGGCAUCAGAUUUGAAGUAAAGUUUUAUCGGUAAUGGAUGGGGAUGCGUCUGAUUAGCUUGUUGGCGAGGUAACGGCACACCAAGGCGACGAUCAGUAGGGGUGCUGAGAGUAAGGCACACCAGAUCGGAAACGAGAUCCAGACCAAUACCGUACGCAAGGGAGCGGUGACGUACACAGGUCAAGGGAGGCAAGUCGGAACCAGCCAAGUAGCGUGCAGAAUGCCGGCGCUAGGGGUUGUAAACUGCUUGUGUAUGAGGAUAAAGUUAGGAACUAGUCACUACUUGAAGGUACCAUAUGAAUAAGGCACGGCUAAUUCCGUG